Acanthosepion pharaonis is the source of this 111-nucleotide non-coding RNA. Lineage: Eukaryota; Metazoa; Mollusca; Cephalopoda; Sepiida; Sepiidae. The record is from the annotation of a GenBank genome assembly.
UUACGGCCAUAUCACGUUGAAAUGGUUCUCAUACGAUCACCGACGUUAAGCAUCGUCGAGCCUGGUCAGUAUCUAGAUGGGUGACCGCUUCAGAAUACCAAGUGCCGUAAG